GAUGAACGCUGGCGGCGUGCCUAAUACAUGCAAGUCGAGCGAACAGACGAGGAGCUUGCUCCGCUGACGUUAGCGGCGGACGGGUGAGUAACACGUGGAUAACCUACCUAUAAUACUGGGAUAACUUCGGGAAACCGGAGCUAAUACCGGAUAAUAUAUUGAACCGCAUGGUUCAAUAGUGAAAGACGGUUUUGCUGUCACUUAUAGAUGGAUCCGCGCCGCAUUAGCUAGUUGGUAAGGUAACGGCUUACCAAGGCAACGAUGCGUAGCCGAACUGAGAGGCGGAUCGGCCGCACUAGAACUGAGACACGGUCCAGACUACUACGGGAGGCAGCAGUAGGGAAUCUGCCGCAAUGGGCGAAAGCCUGACGGAGCAACGCCGCGUGAGUGAUGAAGGUCUUCGGAUCGUAAAACUCUGUUAUUAGGGAAGAACAAAUGUGUAAGUAACUAUGCACGUCUUGACGGUACCUAAUCAGAAAGCCACGGCUAACUACGUG
Molecule: ribosomal RNA, 497 nt
Filed under: uncultured bacterium
Lineage: Bacteria
Description: partial 16S ribosomal RNA
Rfam family: Bacterial small subunit ribosomal RNA
Source: RNAcentral